CCUGCCACCUAUUACACCUAUGCAUGACAAGUACAGACCUUUUUAAAACAUCUUAUAAUUAACACAUUUUACUGCCCAAUAUUGAAACAUGCACGAAUGUUUUAUGUAUAAACAUUGUUGUACAACAGGUAUACAUCUUAACCAGACAGUACUGCACUUUUAAUAACCUUUAAUGUUUAUAACAUACCGUUGUAGGAAAGACUGUAUUCGUAUAAAAUAAGACAGUUUUGAAACGCACAUGCCCAUUUUCCCAGAAAAGCCUUUCUCCACGACAGACCCUGGGGUGAGACAGAAAACGAGAGCUUCCCGUUCAUUAAGGGAUAAAGGGCCUGGUUAUAGGUUUUGACAUCAUGCCGUUUCCAAUUCCACCCAAGCCCCAGCUCCUUGAAGUUCACAGUGGAAGAGAAGCAGGGGUCCAUUGUGACCAUGGAGGAGGACACUGGCACUGCAGAAGGCCAGAAACGACAGAAACCGAAUAAAUGCAAAGUGGAAGAAAGUGGCGGAGCACCUGGGUCCACCUACCUACCAUCUCCUGAAGCCAACUCCUGUCCCUAUACCUGUGAAGGAGUUGUCUCAUUCUCUCUCCUCCUCCAUCUAUCCCCCCCUCACUUAUCUCCAUAAUAAUAAAUCCUCU
This is a long non-coding RNA of Oncorhynchus kisutch (coho salmon), 634 nucleotides long. RefSeq lists it as uncharacterized. The record is from RefSeq and is a predicted model, not a curated record. NCBI's taxonomy places the organism in Eukaryota, Metazoa, Chordata, Actinopteri, Salmoniformes, Salmonidae. The transcript is spliced from 4 exons.